This 948-nucleotide ribosomal RNA is filed under the name Gyrodactylus parvae. RNAcentral's name for it is "16S ribosomal RNA". The stretch from base 613 to 890 matches the Rfam family "Archaeal large subunit ribosomal RNA", at positions 2151 to 2715 of the family's 2987-position model. Lineage: Eukaryota; Metazoa; Platyhelminthes; Monogenea; Gyrodactylidea; Gyrodactylidae. The record is from RNAcentral.
UUUAAUUAUAAAGUAAUUUAAGAUUAAAUUACCUUUUGCAUCAUGAUUAAAUGAUUAUAAUUCUAAUAUUAGAACUUUCGAAAAUGUGUGAUCUUAUAUAAAAUUAAGUUGAUUGGGUAAUUCAUAUAAAUUUUAUAUAAGAAGUGAUAAAUUACACGUACACAUUUAUAUCUAAUUGGAGUGGUUUUAUUAAACAUUAUUAUUUUAUUAUAAUAAUGCCUUUUAUUUGUUGUUUAAUAAUAAACUUAUUAAUGGAUUAAUAUUAUCCUAAAUCUUGUUAUAAAGUAUAUAUUAAUUUAAUUAACAAUUUAUUAAAUCCUCCCAUAUUAAUAUAUUUAUGUUGAUUAUGUUAUAAAUAAGUAUAAAAAUAAAAUAAUUUUUUCUCGUAGUAAUCCGAACUGUUUAUUAAAAACAUUUCCUAAUUUAAUAUUUAUUAGGUAUCCCCUGCUCAUCGUUGUUUUAACCAACAAGAAGCCGCAGUAUUUUGACUGUGCUAAGGUAGCAUAAUUAAUUGCCUCUUAAAUAGAGGAUUGUCUGAAUGGGGUAAUUGGGUUUAAUUUAAAAUUUAUUUUAGAAGAAAUUAAUUUGUAGUUGCAGAAUACUACAUUAUAAUAUAAGACGGAAAGACCCUAAGAGCUUAAUUUCUUUUAUUUUGGGCAAAGCUAUAUAUUUAUUUAGUUUAUAAACCUUUUGGGAUAAAAUCAAAGUUACCUUAGGGAUAACAGGGUUAGAUGUAUUUAGAGUUCUUAUCAAUAUACAUAAUUGCCACCUCGAUGUUGACUUAAAUUUACUCUAUUGUGUAGAAGCUUUAGUAGUAAGCCUGUUCGGCUUUUAAAAUUUUUCAUGAGUUGAGUUAAGACCGGUGUAAGCCAGGUCGGUUCUUAUCUAUAACUGGUCUGCUAUAGUACGAAAGGAUUUAGUAGUAAAUAUUUUAUUAAAAUUUUUAUA